Long non-coding RNA from Lycium barbarum (goji berry), 2423 nucleotides. RefSeq lists it as uncharacterized. Lineage: Eukaryota; Viridiplantae; Streptophyta; Magnoliopsida; Solanales; Solanaceae. The record is from RefSeq and is a predicted model, not a curated record. The transcript is spliced from 2 exons.
CAUUAAUUGCCUCCUUCGAUUUCCACCUUUCUCUACCCAAACGAGGUGUUAUCUCGUCCUUGUUAGCAUGCUUUUCUCUGCUUUGUGAACGUUGAACGUUUAUAUACUUUAAUCGAUUUUGGUCGUUUGUGAAUUUUGAAUCUUGAUUUGCUAUUGGUUCAUUUGGAACCUAAAAGAUCGACCUUUUUUUUUAGGCAGACCUGACCCUUUGUUUGUUUUGUGUUUAAUCCUAACCCUCCAAAGUUGGGUGUAAGGAGGAAACCCCACAAGGGGAGUUAUCCCACAUCGAACAAGAGUGGGUUUUGAAAUUCUAGGUUUCUCUAUUUAAAGGGGGCCUAUUUUGCUUGUUGGAAAAAAGGAGGAAAGAAAAAUAUUUUUCUGCAAAUGUACUCGUUUAGACUCGAAAUACUUGAAGAUUUCUUUCAAAAUCUGAUUGAAGUCUUUUUUAAGAAAUUUCUGAGUCCAGUAAAAUUUUAAAAGAAGGAAAGGGGCAACUCUUUUCUUUUGCUUGCAUUUUUGUUAAGUUCUAUGGCUUGAGUUUGGGGUUUGGAGGCAUAAAUCAUCAAGUUUGAAUCUCGACUCGCAAAAGAUGAUUUAUCAAAAAGUGCAGUUCCAACAGGCCAAGACAACUGAAAGUGAAAAAUCAUGAGUGAGUUUCGAAUUUCAAUUUCCUGUUUUUCUUAUUUAAUGUAUAAAUAUUAAGCUUUAGAGGCACUAAAACAUUGAGGAGGCUGCUAAUUAUGUGUUAGUGAUACAACUUCAUCAUUUAAGGACAUGGAGUUUUUACUCAUAACAAAUCUUGAAAGUUGAAUCCCCAAAUCAACUGUCACUAUUAAUCACAUAUAUUCAUUCAAAAUGCACAAAUCUGGGUAUCCAAAUUUACAGCUAAAAAAAUUAAGAAACCCCAAAUCUGUGCUUGAAAAAAUUAAGAAACCCCAAAUCUGUGCUUGUUAUCUAACCAUUGAUGUAAUACAGUGAACUCGACUUAAUAUGGUAUUACUGAAUACCGUACCGAACCGAAGUUUGACUUACCGAUUACCGAAUUACGAUUUACCGAUUACCGAACCAAAGUUCAAAAGUUCGGUAUUUGGUAUCUACUUUCAAUUACCGAAUUACCGAAACCGAACUGUAUACCGAACGCCCACCCCUACCAGUAAAUAAAGAAAAUAGGAGAAUGAAUUGUUGUGUUGAUGUAAUCUUGGCUGUAUUAGGAAUGCUAACUAAAAGAGGAAUAGACCUUUUAAAGAGGAAGGUAGAAUGAGUCUUGUUAAGUCACAUAAGUCCAGGCUUGGUUUUUCUUUGGUUAAUUGUCUUCACGUGAUAAUUCUCUACUUGCUAUUGGUUGAUUCAUUCUGCUAAUUGAAGUCCAUGUCUUCAUCUCUUUUCCUUCCCUCUUUCCUUACCUCUUUUAGGACUCAGUUGAGUUUGUUUGUUUGUGAACUUAGUCUUUGGACUUUGUCAUUCUAUUAACUAUGAUCUUUGAAUUAGUUCUGGCCUGGUAUAACUAUGUAUGCACAUAUCCUUUCAUUUGUAUAUCACUAAGUUUAGCACAAACUUAGGGAAGUAAGUUAGCACUUGGGGAUUAAGCUUAAGCUUUCCCUAAUGCCUACCAUGCCUGGGAUUCAUGAAAUCCCUUGGAUCUUGUGUUGCAUUAGGAUUAAGGAAAUAAAAGCUUUCCUUUUGGUGCUAUUUUGGCAUCCCUAUAGUUGUGUAUAUCAGAUGGAAGAGAAUGUAUACCUGUGCUAUGAAUAAAUCUUGUGACCAGUUGUAUAUUACUUGUGUAUUUGGGCUCUAUUUCUCUUCUUCCUUCUUCAUUCUACUGUGUUUCGUGUGGGCCUUGUGUUGUUGGGCUUAUAAAUCAUGAAUUUGGCCUUUACCUUGACUCAUAAAUAUUAAUAUGUGUUCUGCCUGCCUAAAUGUUCUUCCAAAAGUGGUAAUUGUUUCAUUUCAACACAUUAAUAUGUCAUAUAUCCCUGUACUUAGAAUAUCUUGGGUAUUCUCUAAUUUACGUUUCUUUCCUCUUUGCUUGCAUGAAAAUCCUAUGGUUCUGGGGCGUUUCUACUGCAAAAAAUUCAUUGGGCCAAAGGCCCAACAUUCCUGUUGAUCUAGUCCGUGAGAAAUAAAUGUGAAAGAGAAGCUAAUAUGUCUUGAAGGCCCAGCUAGUGGGUAAAAAUGGCACCGAUGGGCGGGAUAGGGCCAUCAGUUGGAAAUCUGAUUCUCUUUCUUCCUCCUUUAUGUAUGUAUGUAUGUUGUAUAUGUACUGAUAUACGUGAUUAUUGGAACCCAUUAUGCAUGUUAGAAGUUAGGAAAAUACUUAGUGAUUUAGGUAAGUCGCCAAAACAAACCAAUUUUCGAACCACGGCUACUAACUCUUUUUUUUCUUAAACUAAAAAAAAAAAGUUUCAAGAGUUGGUUUUCUUUUC